AUUGAACGCUGGCGGCAUGCCUUACACAUGCAAGUCGAACGGCAGCACGGGAGCAAUCCUGGUGGCGAGUGGCGAACGGGUGAGUAAUAUAUCGGAACGUGCCCAGUCGUGGGGGAUAACGUAGCGAAAGCUACGCUAAUACCGCAUACGAUCUAUGGAUGAAAGCGGGGGAUCGCAAGACCUCGCGCGAUUGGAGCGGGCCGAUAUCAGAUUAGGUAGUUGGUGAGGUAAAGGCUCGCCAAGCCGACGAUCUGUAGCUGGUCUGAGAGGACGACCAGCCACACUGGGACUGAGACACGGCCCAGACUCCUACGGAGGCAGCA
Molecule: ribosomal RNA, 323 nt
Filed under: uncultured bacterium
Lineage: Bacteria
Description: bacterial SSU rRNA
Rfam family: Bacterial small subunit ribosomal RNA
Source: RNAcentral